CACCGAUAAAGGCAAAUUUACCGAAAGGUAGAGACGCAAAGCUAUAGGGUCUUCCUUAUAAAAAAGAUGACAGCCAGUUACCGAA
RNAcentral lists this non-coding RNA (85 nucleotides) under Sporanaerobacter sp. RNAcentral's name for it is "c-di-GMP sequence". It matches the Rfam family "c-di-GMP-I riboswitch aptamer". From Rfam's summary of the family: GEMM was predicted in a large-scale screen for bacterial structured RNA regulatory elements. Genes associated with GEMM are involved in a diverse array of functions, including chemotaxis regulation, signal transduction, secretion and chitin. The record is from RNAcentral. Lineage: Bacteria; Bacillati; Bacillota; Tissierellia; Tissierellales; Sporanaerobacteraceae.